UACGGGGAGCACAGCAGUGGGGUACUGGACAAUGGAAGCCUUUCAGUCCAGCCAUCCUGCGUGGCGUUGAAGACCUUCGGGUUGUAAACGCUGCGGCAGGAAAGAAACGGCUGCGGAUAAUACCCCAUUACGCAACACGACAAUACCUGAGUCAGCGCAGCUAACUACUGCCAGCAAUAACGGUAAUACGUAGGGUGCAAGCGUUAAUCGGAAUUACUGGGCGUAAAGCGUGCGCGGGCGGUUCGGAAAGAAAGAUGUGAAAUCCAGAGCUUAGCUUUGGAACUGCAUUUUUAACUACCGAGCUAGAGUGUGUCAGAGGAGGUGGAAUUCCGUGUAGCGAUGAAAUGUGAUGUGGAGGGAACACCAAAUGGCGAAAAACAGCCUCCUGGGAUAACACUGACGCUCAUGCACGAAAGCGUGGGGAGCAACAGGAUUAGAUACCCGGGUAGUCCCUGUUACCCGCAGUGUCCC
Molecule: unclassified non-coding RNA, 471 nt
Filed under: uncultured Bordetella sp.
Lineage: Bacteria; Pseudomonadati; Pseudomonadota; Betaproteobacteria; Burkholderiales; Alcaligenaceae
Description: partial 16S-23S ribosomal RNA intergenic spacer
Rfam family: Bacterial small subunit ribosomal RNA
Source: RNAcentral